Molecule: long non-coding RNA, 259 nt
Organism: Brassica rapa (field mustard)
Lineage: Eukaryota; Viridiplantae; Streptophyta; Magnoliopsida; Brassicales; Brassicaceae
Source: RefSeq, a predicted model, not a curated record
CUAAAUCAAAUGACAGACAAAAAAAUCUGGCUUAGUUCAAUCUAGAACAAACGGGUAGUAAGAUUCCUUCAAAAGGUGUAGAAGAUGAAGGAAGAGCACUGACUUUUUUAUCUUUGAUCUCACUAGACUGAAUCCAAGUCUUGAUCUGGUCCCUAUACCGCUGCAGCUUCUUGAUCUCCUUCUUCAACUCAGCCUCAAACUUUUCCUUUUGGUUAACAUUAUCCGUAUCAUAGACCUGAAACACACCAAAAAAGAGCCC